Hydra vulgaris (swiftwater hydra) is the source of this 389-nucleotide long non-coding RNA. RefSeq lists it as uncharacterized. Lineage: Eukaryota; Metazoa; Cnidaria; Hydrozoa; Anthoathecata; Hydridae. The record is from RefSeq and is a predicted model, not a curated record.
GUAAUUUUAUAUUAUAAACUUUUUAUAUGUUGUGGUCUUAAGUGGUACAACUUCUUUUUUAAAUCAAUAUAAAUUACAAUUUGAAGAUGUUCUUUUCCUUCUUUACUUUUGUAGUUUGUAGUCUUCAAUGGCAUUGACAUCUGGUAGAAAAGCUAAGGUUCUUUUAGUACAGUGGUAAAGUUACUUGUCUCUCAAUACGAGUUUAUAUUCCAUAAAUCUUUUUUUAGUCUUCAAUGGCGAUGAUAGCAAUUGUAAGGUUGUGUCAUUCUUUUUGUUUUAUAUUCUGUAGUGGCAUUGACACUAAGUAGCUACGGUAAUGUGAUAUCUUUUCAAAAUAAUUUUAAAUGAAUAAAUGAGGUGUUUAGUCAAUAUUUUACCUUUUUUUUGGU